Long non-coding RNA from Hibiscus syriacus, 207 nucleotides. RefSeq lists it as uncharacterized. The record is from RefSeq and is a predicted model, not a curated record. The transcript has 2 exons. Lineage: Eukaryota; Viridiplantae; Streptophyta; Magnoliopsida; Malvales; Malvaceae.
UUUACCUUCUCUAGUUUAUAUUUUGUUUUGAGGUUUAAUUAUUUUACAUAGGUUCUUUACUACUUUCCCUGGUAGCUUCCCAAAAUUCUUAGUCAUUUAAACUACAGGUACUUUAAUGCUAUAUAGCGAGGUGUUGAGAAUGAAUGUUUCGUGCGAGCAUUAGCAUAUAUGAUCGGAUUAGGCUUAGAAAACAGAGUUAAUCUACUG